CGUGACAACCCAAGAGAUUGGGCGUUCCCCCUUCGGGGGGACAGGGUGACAGGUGGUGCAUGGUUGUCGUCAGCUCGUGUCGUGAGAUGUUGGGUUAAGUCCCGCAACGAGCGCAACCCUCGCCUCUAGUUGCCAGCAUUCAGUUGGGCACUCUAGAGGGACUGCCGGCGACAAGUCGGAGGAAGGUGGGGAUGACGUCAAAUCAUCAUGCCCCUUAUGACCUGGGCUACACACGUGCUACAAUGGGCGGUACAAAGGGCUGCGAACCCGCGAGGGGGAGCGAAUCCCAAAAAGCCGCUCUCAGUUCGGAUUGCAGGCUGCAACUCGCCUGCAUGAAGCCGGAAUCGCUAGUAAUCGCGGAUCAGCAUGCCGCGGUGAAUACGUUCCCGGGCCUUGUACACACCGCCCGUCACACCACGAGAGCUUGCAACACCCGAAGUCGGUGAGGCAACCCGCAAGGGAGCCAGCCGC
RNAcentral lists this ribosomal RNA (471 nucleotides) under Geobacillus thermocatenulatus. RNAcentral describes it as "bacterial SSU rRNA". It matches the Rfam family "Bacterial small subunit ribosomal RNA", at positions 990 to 1456 of the family's 1533-position model. The record is from RNAcentral. Lineage: Bacteria; Bacillati; Bacillota; Bacilli; Caryophanales; Anoxybacillaceae.